GAUGAACGCUGGCGGCGUGCCUAAUACAUGCAAGUCGAGCGAACAGACGAGGAGCUUGUUCCUCUGACGUUAGCGGCGGACGGGUGAGUAACACGUGGAUAACCUACCUAUAAGACUGGGAUAACUUCGGGAAACCGGUGCUAAUACCGGAUAAUAUAUUGAACCGCAUGGUUCAAUAGUGAAAGACGGUUUUGCUUCCCCCAAUAGUGGGACCCCGGCGGAAUAAGCUAGUUGGUAAGGUAACGGCUUACCAAGGCAACGAUGCGUAGCCGACCUGAGGGGGUGAUCGGCCACACUGGAACUGGGACACGGUCCAAACUCCUACGGGAGGCAGCAGUAGGGAAUCUUCGGCAAUGGGCGAAAGCCUGACGGAGCAACGCCGCGGGGGUGAUGAAGGUCUUCGGAUCGUAAAACUCUGUUAUUGGGGAAGAACAAAUGUGUAAGUAACUAUGCACGUCUUGACGGUACCUAAUCAGAAAGCCACGGCUAACUACGUG
Molecule: ribosomal RNA, 497 nt
Filed under: uncultured bacterium
Lineage: Bacteria
Description: partial 16S ribosomal RNA
Rfam family: Bacterial small subunit ribosomal RNA
Source: RNAcentral